Molecule: long non-coding RNA, 578 nt
Organism: Camponotus floridanus (Florida carpenter ant)
Lineage: Eukaryota; Metazoa; Arthropoda; Insecta; Hymenoptera; Formicidae
Exons: 5
Source: RefSeq, a predicted model, not a curated record
UUAUGAUAAUAAAGAGUUAAUUAUACUUAAUUUUUAUCUAACAUAAGGAACUAAAUUCUGUGAUCGAUUGACAUCAUAAUAUACAAGGUAUCGCACGUUGUUACAUCUCGGUAGUUUUCUAGAAAGUCAAGAUCAGAUUAAUACCGAUAUAUUUCUUAUCAAUAUUGAUACUAUAUAUGGUAACAACGAGCCAACUACACUUAAUUAUUAUCAAAAAACUAAAUUCUAAUCGGCAAACAAUUAUAUACGAGAGGAAGCUACACUCUGUAUAUGAAGUUUUCCGGUAUUUUUGGUGAAAAUGGAGGCUUUAGAACUUUCUACAUGAAUCAACAAGGUGAUAGAAUGAGUUUAGCAGCAACGCAUUAUCACACAUUUGGGACUCGAAGAUUAUUUCCACUUUUGAAGGAUAAGAAGCAGAUAUUAUCUUUAAUCAAAAAACGGAUGAUGAGAUGCGCAAAAUUGAAAUAGUGCGAGUAAUAAGCUAUAAGGUGACACAUGAAUGGUUUUAUAAUGCAAUCGAUCCUAAGUGGGAACCCUGGUUAAGCAAAGGUCUUUCUACGUUCAUUGGAAUUUAUGCC